Molecule: ribosomal RNA, 481 nt
Filed under: Streptomyces sp. ATE26
Lineage: Bacteria; Bacillati; Actinomycetota; Actinomycetes; Kitasatosporales; Streptomycetaceae
Description: partial 23S ribosomal RNA
Rfam family: Bacterial large subunit ribosomal RNA
Source: RNAcentral
CGAAGCGGAGUGAUCUAGCCAUGGGCAGGUUGAAGCGGAGGUAAGACUUCGUGGAGGACCGAACCCACCAGGGUUGAAAACCUGGGGGAUGACCUGUGGUUAGGGGUGAAAGGCCAAUCAAACUCCGUGAUAGCUGGUUCUCCCCGAAAUGCAUUUAGGUGCAGCGUCGUGUGUUUCUUGCCGGAGGUAGAGCACUGGAUAGGCGAUGGGCCCUACCGGGUUACUGACCUUAGCCAAACUCCGAAUGCCGGUAAGUGAGAGCGCGGCAGUGAGACUGUGGGGGAUAAGCUCCAUGGUCGAGAGGGAAACAGCCCAGAGCAUCGACUAAGGCCCCUAAGCGUACGCUAAGUGGGAAAGGAUGUGGAGUCGCACAGACAACCAGGAGGUUGGCUUAGAAGCAGCCACCCUUGAAAGAGUGCGUAAUAGCUCACUGGUCUAGUGAUUCCGCGCCGACAAUGUAGCGGGGCUCAAGCGUACCGCC